UGAAUACGAGAUGCUACGGCAUCGAAGCAGUCUAUGUCAUACUUCCAAGAAAAGCUUGCACUGUCAUAAACAAAUAAUGCCUGUACCAUAACCGACACAGGUGGGUAGGUAGAGUAUACUAAGGGGCGCGAGAUAACUCUCUCUAAGGAACUCGGCAAAAUGACUCCGUAACUUCGGGAGAAGGAGUGCCUUAUUUUAUAAGGUUGCAAUAACAAGAUCCAAGCAACUGUUUACCAAAAACACAGGUCUCCGCUAAGUCGUAAGACGAUGUAUGGGGGCUGACGCCCGCCCAGUGCCAGAAGGUUAAAGAAGUUGGUUAGCAUUAGCGAAGCUGAUAACUGAAGCCCUGGUGAACGGCGGCCGUAACGAUAACGGUCCUAAGGUAGCGAAAUUCCUUGUCGGGUAAGUUCCGACCCGCACGAAAGGCGUAAUGAUUUGGAUACUGUCUCGGAGAGGGGCUCGGUGAAAUAGACUUGUCUGUGAAGAUGCGGACUACCUGCACCAGGACAGAAAGACCCUAUGAAGCUUUACUGUAACUUGAGAUUGAAAUUGGACUUUAUUUGCGCAGUAUAGGUGGGAGACGUUGAAAAUAUUCUUGCGGGAAUAUUGGAGUCAUCAGUGAGAUACCACUCUUAUAAUGUUAGAUUUCUAACUUUGUAUCAUUAUCCGGUCAAAGAACAGUCCCAGGCGGGCAGUUUGACUGGGGCGGUCGCCUCCCAAACGGUAACGGAGGCGCACAAAGGUUUCCUCUGAACGUGUAGAAAUCGUAUCUAGAGUGUAAAGGCAUAAGGAAGCUUGACUGUGAGACCUACAAGUCGAGCAGGGACGAAAGUCGGUCUUAGUGAUCUGACGGUGCUGAGUGGAAAGGCCGUCACUCAACGGAUAAAAGUUACUCUAGGAUAACAGGCUGAUCUCCCCCAAGAGUUCACAUCGACGGGGAGGUUUGGCACCUCGAUGUCGGCUCAUCGCAUCCUGGGGCGGUAGUACGUCCCAAGGGUUGGGCUGUUCGCCCAUGAAAGCGGUACGCGAGCUGGGUUCAGAACGUCGUGAGACAGUUCGGUCCAUAUCCGGUGUAGGCGUUAGAAUAUUGAGAGGAGCCUUCUUUAGUACGAGAGGACCGUGAAGGACAUACCUCUGGUGUACCAGUUAUCGUGCCAACGGUAAACACUGGGUAGCUAUGUAUGGAGAGGAUAACCGCAGAAAGCAUCUAAGUGGGAAGCCCACCUCAAGAUAAG
RNAcentral lists this ribosomal RNA (1235 nucleotides) under metagenome. RNAcentral describes it as "bacterial LSU rRNA". It matches the Rfam family "Bacterial large subunit ribosomal RNA", at positions 1564 to 2808 of the family's 2925-position model. The record is from RNAcentral.